Molecule: non-coding RNA, 30 nt
Filed under: Mus musculus (house mouse)
Lineage: Eukaryota; Metazoa; Chordata; Mammalia; Rodentia; Muridae
Source: RNAcentral
CCCAGGCCAAGCCUCAUUCUAAGUGUAGAC